ACAGGAGCAUGGGAUAGGCAUGGUGGCCGGGGCUCCCUUCAAGAGUAACAUCAACUUCGCUCUGCUCAAGAUGAAGGAGGAUGGCUUUAUGGCCAAGCUCAAAAAAAAAUGGUGGGAUGACAAACGACAAUGUGACGUAGGAAGUGACAGUCAGAGAACAGGGCAGGUCCAGUUUGGAGUCAACCAUACCGCAGGCGUGUUCAUAGUCGGUCUGUUUGGCGUGUGCGUUGCGGCGUUGCUGUUUUUCUGUAAAAAGAUCUACUGGUGCAUCAAAAACGCCAUUCUGAAGCGGUUGAGACGAGACCUGAAGGCUGAAGAGAAUCACGCGGCAGUCAAGGCGAACGAGGAGGCGUUGAAGGAGAGACAAAAGCUGUUUGAGGGGGACAGGGGGGAGGCCGUGUGAAGGAAGGAGAAGUGGAAAGACUGAGAAAAUUGCGUGUACGAGAGUGUCGAAAACAAGAACAGGUAGAGAAAUGCCAAAGGUAAGGAAGUAAACUCUCAGCUGUCAAGAUUCAAAUACAAAAAGUCCAAAGUUUUCUAUCAACCGAGCUCUCAGGAAUUUGAUGUGCAGUCAAGUACCUCGGCAUCAGAAGCAAGUUCCUUUCGUUAUUAAUUUUCUUAAUUAAAACUUUUACCAGGAAUUCAAGACCACGGACUCAUAUUUCGAAACUAUGAUAAGUACUUGUAAUUAGACUUAUCAAAAUUGUCGUCUCACUUUUCUCUCACUUUCCAAUAGUCCCAUGUUUGUCUGAAAACAAGGAUUGCAAACUUUGUAACCUGAAUUUAUUCUCUCUUGCACUUGCUGUUGAUUAACUGUUGGUAUUUGUCUGUUGGGAAAUAGACUGUUCAGAUGGAAAACCCAUGAGGGAAGUGUAGGAAUGUAUGAUGAAGCAACAGCAGGAACCGAAGUGUGUGCUGAAGCGUUUAGGCGCUUCACUGUUACAUGAAACAGAUUGGCGUUCGAUACCCAUAUCGAAAGAUUUGUUUUACGGAGUGUGUCCGUCUGUCUGCUGCCUCAGUCCAAUUCGGACCUGACAGGCAUGGUUGAAGCAGCCCGCCUCCUAUAUAAUCCAAAUUGUAUCGAUGGAGGCGCAAAUAGAUUUGCAUUAUUUUUAACAGCAAAGAAUGUCAAAUAUAUUAUAUGAGUAGUAUCAGUGGGAGUGAUCGUAGCUAUUAGAUGGCACUGUAGGAAAAAAGAAACGUUUUUGUGAUGGUGAAAACUGCAGGGAGAACAGGGGCUCCUAGUCUACAUGCAAGGAACCUGCUUGCUGGGCCCAAAUCAUUGAUAAUACUACAAUCCGGAUAUCCGAAGAAAUCUGAUUAACCUAUGUUUUGUUAGGAUUAACAGGGGAAAAAAAUAAUUUGGGUGGCAUGGUAGCCCAAUACUGGACCCGUAAUCGUGAGAUUGAGGGUUCAAGCCUCAGCUCGGUCCGACGUCGUGCCUUUGGGAAAGGUACUUUACACGAAAUUCCUGUUUGGCGAGGUCCUUUCGGACAUGGAAGUUAAAAUCAGAAGCCCUGCCUCUUAAAUAACCUACUGGUGUUGAUAGGGGCGUUAAACCUAUAUCAUUUUACCAUUUCACCAAAGCAAUUUGAGUGACUUGUUUACAGAAGCUGAUCUUCUCGCUAGGAUUUGGUAAUAGAUGGGUAUUAGGCUUUUGGCACUGAGGUUUCGUCAUAUCUAAGUUUUACUGUGUCCUUGUGGAUAAAUUUUAAUGUGCAUCUGUUGGUCAAUACCAAUAUAAAAAGUACUGACCCUUUUGUAAAACUAUGACUGUAUUGAAAUUAAAACGGGACUAUAUUGAAAUCAUGCUGUGACUUUAUUAGAAUUAUUAAGGGACUAUAGUGAAAAUUAUUCAGGGAUGGGACUACAUUGAAACUUCCUUGGGGAAAAAUUGAAAUCAUAUGGGACUGUACUGAAAUUAUUAUGGGACUGUUUUGAAACUUAAAGGGAAUAUAUUGAAGUUUUAAGUAGAUUAAAUUUUAAUUAUUUUGGACGAUGAUAUUGAAAUGAUGGUGGGACUAUAUCGAAAUCGUCAUGGGAAUACAAUGAAAUUACUAUGGGGGCUAUUAUUUCCUGACUGAUGAUUCAUAGCAGGCUCAUACAUAAGCUGCACUUGACUUUAUAGAAGUGGUGAAUGUACUAUUGAAAUUGUCCAAGACGACCACCCAUUGUCGAGGGAAAAGUGGUUAUCUUAGGCAGGUUGAUGUCUUGGACAUUGUUAUUGUAAUGAUAAAAAAAAAAAUGCAAAGUGAAACGUGAGGAGUGGUCGUUUUUUACAAGUGGUUGUCUUGGAUAUGAGAUCGUUAGAGCAGGUUCGACUGUACAUUACUGUCUUGGUAUGAAGUUUUGUAUAUUAUAUUAUAUUCGUAUGUUAGCUGUCUUUUAGUUUCUGUUUGUGAGCUGUAUAUCCGGGGUUCUUUUAAUAUUACGGUUGCUUGACGGUUUGUUUGAUGAAUAGGCAGUCCGCCUAGUAACCGUAAGAUAGUGGUUUUGCAACCUUUCCAUGUUAAAACUUGUGUAACUGAGAAAACCACUUUACGCGAAUACUCCCUGCUUCACCCAGGUGGGAAUGAGUACCUGGCUAAAAAUAUUGAAAGAUAGUAUUAUUAUGCUGGUGUUUGAGCGCCCAUACAUAUACAGUAUCAGUUUGCACCGAAUGCUUCCGGGUACCUGAGAUUGGGUCAGAAAAUGAAAAGGUAUGUAGGAGUAAUAAUACUUUAUAGAUUGCACAGGACUUUCUCUUGAGCUAAGUGAUAUCUUGUUCUGACUCAGAGUUCCAACUACUUGUAGAGAGUUUUGUCACAGUUUGUCACCUUACAAUUACAAAGAUCUAUCUGGCAUAUUUGACUGUUUUGAGUUACUAAGACAAUGAGGUCAAAAGCCUAAUGUUCCAUUUGAUGCUCUAUCAAAAUCGUAAGAUUAUUCGAAGUUGUAAUUGAGAUAUUCAACGAAUUGCGUUAAAAAAAGCUUGACAUGUUGUGAAACUCAAAAUCAUGCAAGUCAAAUUUCUCUAAAAUAGGUACUGAGCAGAUAGAACUUAGUAAUUCUAGAGUUGCUAGUUGCUAAGGCUGUUGAAAAAUAUCCUCUUUGAAUCAAACUUCAUUAUGUUUAAUUCUCGGGUUGGGCAGAAUACCAGCUCUAUGUUGUACCAACUACCAUUUUUGCAUCUGGAAUUUAGUGUUUUCAUGGCUGUUUACGUCAAAGGCGGGAAAAUGGAAUAUAUGCGAGAUAGCAUAAAGCUGGUGUACUUUUGAAAAUGGAUGAGCGAAAUAAUCAUUAUACUUAUAGGGCUCAAUGAAAAGACGGAAUGUGCUACAUCAUGUGAACAAGUAAGCCGACUCAAGGAGAAUUUAUCUCGUUCAAGGUAUCUAUAAAACCUGUGGCUCAUCGUUAUUUUAUUAUUUUGUAUUUAUACAUUCAACUUAGGUAGGUUCACUCUUUUCAAUACUUUGAGAACUCUGUACCCAAACUGUAUCCAGCGACUAUGGAGUAAUGAAUAUUCUUGGCCGUCGCGCGCAGAAGACAGGUGUUAGAUUCUCGUGCAGAGAAAAAAGGGGAAAAAGGGGGGGGGGGGGUGUAAUUGAGUUAGGGCGUUGUAUCUCUAUCAGUCUGAGCAUGCCCUGACAGGCAAGGAUCGAUGCAAGGCACCUCCUUUGUUAUCUAAAUAACGUCGAUUUUUAGGGCGUAAAACACCCACAGUUAUAUAUAUUAUAGUGAUUCGACUGUAUUCUUUUGCUAUGAUACACCCUACUAUGGUAGGCUUAUUUCACUUUGAAUACUUUAAGAAAUAAUAUGUAGCCUAAACGACCUGUAACUUGAAACGGUGUGUCACAUUUUGUUUCUCCAUUGAGCUCUUCUUGUGCGAUAUAUCAUUAUCAUUAUUGUUAUUAGUGCUAUCAUUUCUUGUGAGGGUAUCUGUUAACAUGAUAAAUCUAGACUUCCACUGUUGUUUGUGCACGUAAGAAGAUUGACUGUGUUAAAAACCCAUCACUGUUCCAUUGAUAAAGUUCGUACCAUGCAUAGUAACAUGUUUCUCACACUUUUACUCACAGAUCAUGUGAUUUUCAUGUUUGCUGUCGCGAAACGAAUGGUUAUUGUUCAAACCAGGAAAAUGUUAGUCAUAAGAAUUGAUGAUAAUUGUGUGAAUUGCUUGCGCAUGCCUGUGUUUGUAUUUUAUUCAAUAAAUGUAUUUUUCUUUGCUCUUGCAGGGUUCCCACCUGCGUUUGUGGUAUAGCGUUUAGGCACUGCACCCUCGUUUGCAGAAGAUUUGAGUUCGAUUCACUUAAGGAAAGGGGGUUUUUAUGGUGGGUUUCUGUUUAUCUGUUGGAACAAAUCUGCCAUUUCAUCUUAUGUUGGGCCUGACUGGCAAGAUCAAAGCAGCCCGUCUCCUAAAUAACCUAAAUGGUAUCGAUAGGGCCGUAAAACAUCUACAAGUCAAAAACAGUAUCUUACCGUGCCCGUGUCAGGUGCUGAAGCUUUGACGGCCGGUCCAAGAGUAAAACAAACACCUUUCAAAACGAAACAUUCAAAAACACAACUUUUCAAAACACAUGGUUAUGUGUUGGGUUUUUUCAAAGAUACAGACUAAAGGGGCUGCUUAUAAUUCAUAGUCAAGCCCAACCCCACCCCCACCGCUUCUCCCAACCCCAUUUAUGCAGGCUCUCAUCUACCAUAGCUUUACAAUGACUCUCUUAGCUAGCUUGUUCAUUCAAAUUAACCGUUUCGUCUCCCCCCCUUCCUUCAAUCACCAUCUUUGUUGGGGAGCACACAGCGUCGCAGCAUCUUAGGAAGUAGGUGCACGCUCUUAUAAAUUAAAACAAAAAUUAAAGAAAAUGCUUUACUGCGUGUAACCAACAAGACUAAAGAAAUAAUAAUUGUGACAAGAGGCCAUAGAUAUAUACCGUACCCCUAGACCGCGCGCUGUCAUAGCUGCCGCUCUUAGCUAUGGAAAAAAAAAAGUCUGCGAAGGGUGGACACAGUUGGGCCUCAUCAUUACGCUCAAAUGACUGAGAAGCAAAACGCGAGCUUUGCUAUCGUCUAAUUUGCGCUGAACCCCUCCCGCACCCCUCCCCCUUUUCCCCCUAUGUUCUUCCUUAGGCUCAAAUGGUGCGUUCCAUAGUGAACCGAGCAUAUGUCAGGGUGCAUGGUAUAGUCUACGCCAUACCGUUACUUAAGAAUGGCAAAGUUCUUUCUAAUUUUUCUUUCUGUUCUUUUCCGUUUUUAGAUAUAAAGACCAUAAGGUCAAAAACCAAAAUGUGCUAUCUGUUCUAUCGAUAUCGUAAAAUUAUUUAGAGUCGUUAUCGAGACUUUCAAAGAAUUGCACUCGAAAAAGCUUGUCAUGUUGAGAAAGUCAACCUCUUGUACGUCAAAUUUCUCAAAACUAGGUACUGGGCAGAUAGAACUUUGUAAAUCUAUGGUAGCGAUAUUUUAAUGCAAGUCUGUGCAGAAGGCUGAGAAUACACUGUUCUAAGCUAUCUAUAUGUGAUCAUUUCUAAAGAUGUGCACAAGUUUUUCCUCUAUCGGACCGGGGUCGGUGGUGUAGCGGUUAUCCUCCUCGAAUUCGAGUUCCGAGUAGGGGGAGAUUUUUAUUGACUACCUCUGUCUACUUGCUGGGGUUCGGAAGCUCACACAGCCCUGGUUGGCCCUAGAAAGUCGAAGCAGCGCGUCUCUUAAAUGAUCUAUGCUGUGUCUGUUGUUGGCUUAAAGCACUUUGUCGGCAAGCUGAAUGUCCUUAACCCUGAAAGCAGUUUUUUUAGGAGAUUUCAAAAUAAAACGUUCCAAUUCCUUUACAAGUUGAACCUUCCUUAUGAGUCUUUUCUUGAUUUUUCAACAUUUAGAAUUUUGAUUUUGACCAAGUAUUUCACGGAUAUAUUCAAACGAUACCACAGAUUAAGAAACUGCAAUAAGCUUCUUUUUUUUUGUUCUCAAAAUUUCGGGCUAAGGACAUUUGAACUGUUGGCCAGCGACGUGAAGCCAUCAGGGACAAAAACUGCAGAGUUACAUUUCGUAUUAUUUCGAGUUAUGGCCCAUGGAUGUUUAAACAUAAACUCGCUACUCGUAAACAAUAAGGAUAAUCGAGCAACAGCAAGGUCCGUGUGUAAAUGAAGGGGAAAACAGUGGGUACAAUUAAUUUCCACCCCCCCCCCCCCACUCGGACAUUCUAAAAAUGAAUUAAACGUAACGUGGCCCCGCUGAGAGUGGAGACCAUGAUUGUAGUAGGUUGAACAAGUUUACUUUGAAUGACCUUUUUAAAUCACUCUUCAGGCCAUGAGGUUCGAAACUUCAAAACUAACAUUUCUGAAAAUCUCGUUAGUGUGACUGUCGUUUCCCCCCUGUAGUGUUCACUCCAUAAUCGAAUUACAAUUUAUAGCGUAUCACAACGCUAUGGAAUCAGGCGUUCGUCAGUUCUGCCAGUUUCUUUGAUUUCAUCAUGUUGGCGAGCGCCUAAUUUCACCACGAUCCACACAUUUUUUUUCUUCCACUCUGCCCGUCGUGUGGCGUUUAUGUAUGACUGUAGUAUUUUCCCCUUUUUUUAUUAUGCGAACUCCAGUCGAGGGUAAAAGCAAAUUUCGACCCUUCUUUCUUAAGCUAAGU
Long non-coding RNA from Aplysia californica (California sea hare), 6597 nucleotides. RefSeq lists it as uncharacterized. The record is from RefSeq and is a predicted model, not a curated record. The transcript has 3 exons. NCBI's taxonomy places the organism in Eukaryota, Metazoa, Mollusca, Gastropoda, Aplysiida, Aplysiidae.